Labeo rohita (rohu) is the source of this 161-nucleotide small nuclear RNA. RefSeq annotates it as U1 spliceosomal RNA. The transcript has a single exon. The record is from RefSeq and is a predicted model, not a curated record. NCBI's taxonomy places the organism in Eukaryota, Metazoa, Chordata, Actinopteri, Cypriniformes, Cyprinidae.
GAAUGUAAUUGGGGGCAUUAGAUGUAAGAAGGGGGAAGGGAAAGUGGCACGAGGCUCGUCCAUUGCACUCCGGCUGUGCUGACCCCUGCGAAUUCCCCAAAUGUGGGAAUCUCGACUGCAUAAUGUAUGGUAGUGGGGGACUGCGUUCGCGCUCUCCCCUG